GGAGCACAGAGCAAUCUGUGUGACUGCGUACCUUUUGUAUAAUGGGUCAGCGACUUAUAUUCUGUAGCAAGGUUAACCGAAUAGGGGAGCCGAAGGGAAACCGAGUCUUAACUGGGCGUUAAGUUGCAGGGUAUAGACCCGAAACCCGGUGAUCUAGCCAUGGGCAGGUUGAAGGUUGGGUAACACUAACUGGAGGACCGAACCGACUAAUGUUGAAAAAUUAGCGGAUGACUUGUGGCUGGGGGUGAAAGGCCAAUCAAACCGGGAGAUAGCUGGUUCUCCCCGAAAGCUAUUUAGGUAGCGCCUCGUGAAUUCAUCUCCGGGGGUAGAGCACUGUUUCGGCAAGGGGGUCAUCCCGACUUACCAACCCGAUGCAAACUGCGAAUACCGGAGAAUGUUAUCACGGGAGACACACGGCGGGUGCUAACGUCCGUCGUGAAGAGGGAAACAACCCAGACCGCCAGCUAAGGUCCCAAAGUCAUGGUUAAGUGGGAAACGAUGUGGGAAGGCCCAGACAGCCAGGAUGUUGGCUUAGAAGCAGCCAUCAUUUAAAGAAAGCGUAAUAGCUCACUGGUCGAGUCGGCCUGCGCGGAAGAUGUAACGGGGCUAAACCAUGCACCGAAGCUGCGGCAGCGACGCUGAUGCGUUGUUGGGUAGGGGAGCGUUCUGUAAGCCUGCGAAGGUGUGCUGUGAGGCAUGCUGGAGGUAUCAGAAGUGCGAAUGCUGACAUAAGUAACGAUAAAGCGGGUGAAAAGCCCGCUCGCCGGAAGACCAAGGGUUCCUGUCCAACGUUAAUCGGGGCAGGGUGAGUCGACCCCUAAGGCGAGGCCGAAAGGCGUAGUCGAUGGGAAACAGGUUAAUAUUCCUGUACUUGGUGUUACUGCGAAGGGGGGACGGAGAAGGCUAUGUUGGCCGGGCGACGGUUGUCCCGGUUUAAGCGUGUAGGCUGGUUUUCCAGGCAAAUCCGGAAAAUCAAGGCUGAGGCGUGAUGACGAGGCACUACGGUGCUGAAGCAACAAAUGCCCUGCUUCCAGGAAAAGCCUCUAAGCAUCAGGUAACAUCAAAUCGUACCCCAAACCGACACAGGUGGUCAGGUAGAGAAUACCAAGGCGCUUGAGAGAACUCGGGUGAAGGAACUAGGCAAAAUGGUGCCGUAACUUCGGGAGAAGGCACGCUGAUAUGUAGGUGAAGUCCCUCGCGGAUGGAGCUGAAAUCAGUCGAAGAUACCAGCUGGCUGCAACUGUUUAUUAAAAACACAGCACUGUGCAAACACGAAAGUGGACGUAUACGGUGUGACGC
This 1299-nucleotide ribosomal RNA is filed under the name Escherichia coli. RNAcentral describes it as "partial 23S ribosomal RNA". It matches the Rfam family "Bacterial large subunit ribosomal RNA", at positions 576 to 1858 of the family's 2925-position model. Lineage: Bacteria; Pseudomonadati; Pseudomonadota; Gammaproteobacteria; Enterobacterales; Enterobacteriaceae. The record is from RNAcentral.